Molecule: ribosomal RNA, 234 nt
Filed under: uncultured bacterium
Lineage: Bacteria
Description: partial 16S ribosomal RNA
Rfam family: Bacterial small subunit ribosomal RNA
Source: RNAcentral
UGAGUAACCUGCCCUUAACUCUGGGAUAAGCCUGGGAAACUGGGUCUAGUACCGGAUAUGACUCCUCAUCGCAUGGUGGGGGGUGGAAAGCUUUUUGUGGUUUUGGAUGGACUCGCGGCCUAUCAGCUUGUUGGUGAGGUAAUGGCUCACCAAGGCGACGACGGGUAGCCGGCCUGAGAGGGUGACCGGCCACACUGGGACUGAGACACGGCCCAGACUCCGUACGGGAGGCAG